AGCAGUAGCCACGGUAAUACGAAGGGGGCUAGCGUUGUUCGGAUUUACUGGGCGUAAAGGGUGCGUAGGCGGAUUGUUAAGUCAGGGGUGAAAUCCCGAGGCUCAACCUCGGAACUGCCUUUGAUACUGGCGAUCUUGAGUCCGGGAGAGGUGAGUGGAACUGCGAGUGUAGAGGUGAAAUUCGUAGAUAUUCGCAAGAACACCGAUGGCGAAGGCGGCCCACUGGCCCGGAACUGACGCUGAGGCACGAAAGCGUGGGGGGCAAACAGGAUUAGAUACCCCCGUAGUCCCUGUCUCUUAUAC
RNAcentral lists this ribosomal RNA (303 nucleotides) under uncultured bacterium. RNAcentral's name for it is "partial 16S ribosomal RNA". It matches the Rfam family "Bacterial small subunit ribosomal RNA", at positions 507 to 807 of the family's 1533-position model. The record is from RNAcentral.